AUGCCCAGUCGAUGUGGAAGUCCAGCACUAGCAUAUCACGCACAAGAAAACAACCACCCAUUGAGGAGAGAAAGAGACAUGGCGGACCUGGUUGUUGGGUUGGCCAAGUCAGUGGUGGAGGGGGCAUUGACCAAGGCCCAGGCGGCCAUCGAAGAAGAAGCCAAGCUUCGGCAGAGCGCGCAGCGCAACCUAGUGUUCAUCACCGGCGAGUUUGAAAUGAUGCACUCGUUCCUCAAGGUGGCGGACGAGGAGCGCCUAGAGAACAAGGUGGUGAUAACAUGGGUGAGGCAGAUCCGCGAGCUGGCGUACGAUGUGGAAGACUGCAUCGAGCUCGUCAUCCACCUCGAUAAAAAGAGCAGGUGGUGGUGGCACAUGGUGCCGUCCUGGUGCAUGGCGCUGCCACUGCCGCUUGACGAGGCGGCAAGCGAGAUCGAGCAGCUCAAGGCGAGGGUGGAGGACGUGAGCACCAGGAACGCGCGCUACAAACUCAUCGGCGACACUGGCUCCAAACCCUUCAACGUGCAGCAGGAGCCGGUGGCAUCCGCCGCCGCUGCGACCGCGGCUGACAUGCUCGCCGAGGCAAGGGGCGCCACCAAGAGGCAGCAAAGAGUCAGUGAUCUCACCCGGCUGAUCACCAAGAAGCAGGACAACAAUGGACUCCAUGUGAUAUCGGUUUGGGGUGCAGCCGGCGACCAUGGGACGACAUCCAUCAUCAGGAAGGCCUACAACCACCCAGAUAUAUGCCAAGACUUCCCAUGCCGCUCCUGGGUGAAAAUGAUGCAUCCUUUCAGUCCCCACCAAUUCAUGCGCAACAUGAUGGCUCAGUUUCAUGCAACCUCUUGCAUGGAACAAAGAGCAACCAUAGGCAAGGAUGUCUUUAAGAAGAUGGAGGCCGCUCAGGAAGAUCUCUUCAGUGAGUUCGAGGAGCUAAUCAGAGAUAAGAGGUACCUCAUCGUCUUGGAAGGCCUGUCACACAUGGCAGAUUGGGAUGCUAUCAGAGCAUUCCUUCCUGAGAUGACAAAUGGCAGCUGGAUCAUCGUGUCAACUCAGCAAUCCGAAAUAGCAACCUUGUGCAUUGGUCACUCAUACCAGGUGGUGGAGCUCCGAAAGUUCUCGGACAAGCACUCUGUUUGUGCCCUCUACAAGGCUUCUCAAGGGGAUGGUGAUAAAGACAAGAACCCAAUGGGUUUUGAUGGGGGUGAAGAUAAAGGCAAGAAAAUCAUGUCACUUCAGGAGGAAGCAAAGGAAUGGAAGGACAAGAAUGAUGGCCUUGUUGGACGCGAGUCACAAAUGACUGAACUCGUUAAAUGUUUAACUGAGGCACGUGUCAACUCUCGUCCAGUUAUGUCCGUAUGGGGGAUAGCUCAAGUUGGGAAAUCAGCCCUUGUCAAGAAAUUGUUCUAUGACACAGUGCUUCAGCUUCAGGGUGGCAAGUAUGACGAUUAUUAUUGGGUGGAUAUAUCCCAUCCAUUUAAUAUGAGGGACUUGUAUCUGACCUUACUUUCAGAUUUUCAUUCUGACAAAGAACCUAUUGAAGAGUGUCACCGUCUUCUGAAGAAAGGUUGGUGCCUCAUUGUUAUUGACGAUCUCCGGUCCACAAAGGAUUGGGACAUGAUACAAGCUGCCUUGGUAUCGAAACAUCUUAAGAGCGUUGUCAUUGUCAUUACAACUGAUCGAACCAUCGCCGAAUAUUGCACAAAUAAUAAAGAUCUCGUGUUUAAUGUCAAGGCUCUAGAAGCUGAUGCCGCCUUUCAUCUCUUCAAAAACCAGGUACUUAAGAAGAGUUCACCAUACCCUUUGAAGGAUCCAGAGGCGCGUGUAAAAUAUCUUAUUUCAAAGUGUGGCGGUCUUCCCAAAGUAAUAUCUGCUAUAGCUGUGUUACUGGCCACGAAGACAAACAAAAGGAAGGAAACUAUACAUUCUUUGAAUGAAAGAUUUAUGCAUCAUCUGGAGACCGAUCCUGAGUAUGACAAUCUACAAGAUCUAUUUUCCUGGAUGCAAUCUUACUUCCGUACUUGUCCCGAUGCACUCAAGCCAUGUAUCUUCUACUUGUCCAUUUUUCCUCAAGAUCAAAUCAUUCGGCGGAGGCGACUGGUAAGGCGGUGGAUUGCAGAGGGCUACUCCAGGGAUAGCCAGAAUGAAUCUGCCGAGGAGAAUGGGGAGAAGCACUUCUCUGAACUCCUUGAACUGAGCAUAAUCCAGCAGAGAUCGUCGUCAUCAUCAGUCAACAGCUCUGCAUUCAGUGUGGACAUCGUUAGGAUGGUUAUGUGCCAGGUGAAUGGUUUCAUCCGAGAGUACGUCGUGUCACGGCGUUUGGAAGAGAAUCUGGUGUUUGAACUGGGUGGCAAAUGUGCUCUAACCACCCAACGCACCGGGCGUCACCUUGUCAUAUUGGAUAACUGGGAAAGAGAUGGCAUUGUGUUCGCGACCAUGGAUUUCUCUAGGCUACGGUCACUAACAGUGUUUGGAGUGUGGAAGUCAUUCUUCAUCUGUGAAAGUAUGAAGAUGCUUCGGGUGCUUGAUCUAGAGAAUUCAGAGGCUUUAAAUGAUGGUGAUCUUGACAAGAUACUGGAGUGGUUGCGUCGCCUCAAGUUCCUCUCGUUGCGAGGUCACAGUGAGAUCAAACAUUUACCAGGUUCAUUACAUCAUCUGAGGCAGCUCCAGACACUCGAUGUGAGAGGCACCUCAAUAACCACCCUGCCACGGAAGAUCGCCAAGUUACAAAAACUGCAGUACAUUCGUGCGGGGACCACGGGCUUGAAAUCACCAGUUUCAUCCGGCUGCUGCAGCUGGUUGCCUGAGUUUUGCAGAUGUCGUCGUCCUACAAUCAGUGUUGAGGUGCCCACAGAGAUUGAUGAAGUGAUUGAGUCCACGGGCUUGAAACCACCAGUUUCAUCCGGCUGCUGCAGCUGGUUUCCUCAGUUCUACAGAUGUCAUCGUCCUACAAUCAGUGCUGAGGUGCCCACACAGAUUGGUGAAUUGAUUGAGUCCACGGGCUUGAAACCACCAGUUUCACCCGGCUGCUGCAGCUUGUUGCCUGAGUUCUGCAGAUGUCAUCGUCCUACAAUCAGUGUUGAGGUGCCCACAGAGAUUGGUGAACUGAUUGAGUUGCACACACUUGGUGUUAUCAACAUCACUGCUUCAGGCGCAAAGAAAACUGUGAAAGAGCUCAAGAAGCUCACCCAGCUGCGCAAGCUCGGAGUGUCUGGCAUCAACCGAAAGAACAGCGGCAUGUUUUUCUCUGCAAUCAAAGAUCAUGCCCAUCUGGAGUCCUUGUCAGUUUCACUUGACAAGGACACCACGCGCGGUUGUUGCUUCAUCACAAAGGACAGCAACAGUCAAGGUUGCUGGGAUGACAAGGUCUCCCUGCCUUGUAAAAACCUUCGGAGCCUUAAACUGUAUGGGCUUGAAGAUAAGUUGCCGAAAUGGGAGGGGGAGCAGCCUGUAAAGUUUGGAAAGCUCACAAAGCUGGAGCUGGACAUGGCCUCUUUACCAGAAGAUGUCAUAAGGUUUGUUGGCGGGCUUCCAGAACUAUGUAUUCUUCGUGUUAAGCAGCAUCAAGAUCGUCACCUCAACUUCUGUGUCAUGGUGAAUGGAUUCGAGGAUGAAUCCUAUAAGAAGGUUAAGAUCCUCGAGAUUUCCUGCUCCAGCGGCUUACGUGUGAGUUUUGGAUCAUGGACAAUGAAAAAACUUGAGGUGCUCAAGGUUGACUGCUACGGUGGGUCACCGCCUUACAAGUUCAGUGGCCUGGAAAACCUAGAAGAACUCAAGGAAGUCGUGCUAGUUAAGGGCUCCAACGCCCAAGCACUGAAGCAACAACUCGAUCAGCAGCUUGCCGACGAGCACCCGAAAGAAAAGAAGCCUGUCGUGGAGCUGGAGCUACCAUCACCUUCGUCCUGA
RNAcentral lists this ribosomal RNA (3900 nucleotides) under Triticum aestivum (bread wheat). RNAcentral's name for it is "partial small subunit ribosomal RNA". The record is from RNAcentral. Lineage: Eukaryota; Viridiplantae; Streptophyta; Magnoliopsida; Poales; Poaceae.